RNAcentral lists this ribosomal RNA (497 nucleotides) under uncultured bacterium. Its description in RNAcentral is "partial 16S ribosomal RNA". It matches the Rfam family "Bacterial small subunit ribosomal RNA", at positions 28 to 507 of the family's 1533-position model. The record is from RNAcentral.
GAUGAACGCUGGCGGCGUGCCUAAUACAUGCAAGUCGAGCGAACGGACGAGAAGCUUGCUUCUCUGAUGUUAGCGGCGGACAGGUGAGUAACACGUGGAUAGCCUACCUAUAAGACUGGGAUAACUUCGGGAUACCGGAGCUAAUACCGGAUAAUAUUUUGAACCGCAUGGUUCAAAAGUGAAAGACGGUCUUGCUGUCACUUAUAGAUGGAUCCGCGCUGCAUUAGCUAGUUGGUAAGGUAACGGCUUACCAAGGCAACGAUGCAUAGCCGACCUGAGAGGGUGAUCGGCCACACUGGAACUGAGACACGGUCCAGACUCCUACGGGAGGCAGCAGUAGGGAAUCUUCCGCAAUGGGCGAAAGCCUGACGGAGCAACGCCGCGUGAGUGAUGAAGGUCUUCGGAUCGUAAAACUCUGUUAUUAGGGAAGAACAUAUGUGUAAGUAACUGUGCACAUCUUGACGGUACCUAAUCAGAAAGCCACGGCUAACUACGUG